RNAcentral lists this ribosomal RNA (413 nucleotides) under uncultured microorganism. Its description in RNAcentral is "bacterial SSU rRNA". It matches the Rfam family "Archaeal small subunit ribosomal RNA", at positions 330 to 745 of the family's 1478-position model. The record is from RNAcentral.
GCGCAGCAGUCGAGAAACCUCCGCAAUGCGGGAAACCGCGACGGGGGACCCCGAGUGCCGUGGCAACGCCACGGCUUUUCCGGAGUGUAAAAAGCUCCGGGAAUAAGGGCUGGGCAAGGCCGGUGGCAGCCGCCGCGGUAAUACCGGCGGCCCGAGUGGUGGCCGCUAUUAUUGGGCCUAAAGCGUCCGUAGCCGGGCCCGUAAGUCCCUGGCGAAAUCCCACGGCUCAACCGUGGGGCUUGCUGGGGAUACUGCGGGUCUUGGGACCGGGAGAGGCGGGGGGUACCCCUGGGGUAGGGGUGAAAUCCUAUAAUCCCAGGGGGACCGCCAGUGGCGAAGGCGCCCCGCUGGAACGGGUCCGACGGUGAGGGACGAAGGCCAGGGGAGCAAACCGGAUUAGAUACCUGGGUAGU